RNAcentral lists this transfer RNA (71 nucleotides) under Ipomoea nil (Japanese morning glory). It matches the Rfam family "tRNA". From Rfam's summary of the family: Transfer RNA (tRNA) molecules are approximately 80 nucleotides in length. Their secondary structure includes four short double-helical elements and three loops (D, anti-codon, and T loops). Lineage: Eukaryota; Viridiplantae; Streptophyta; Magnoliopsida; Solanales; Convolvulaceae. The record is from Rfam by way of RNAcentral.
GUACUAGUGGUCUAGUGGUAAAAUAGUAUCCUGCCACGGUACAGACCCGAGUUUGAUUCCUGGUUGUUGCA